GGCGUUGCUUCCGAUACGGGAGGACUGGAGUGAACGGACCCGCUGGUCUCCCGGCGGCUCCACCAGGAGCACAUGCUGGGUAGCCACGUCCGGCAUGAAUCACCGCUGAAAGCAUCUAGCGCAGUUGUCC
This 130-nucleotide non-coding RNA is filed under the name Deinococcus hopiensis KR-140. Its description in RNAcentral is "Bacterial large subunit ribosomal RNA". It matches the Rfam family "Bacterial large subunit ribosomal RNA", at positions 2668 to 2798 of the family's 2925-position model. Lineage: Bacteria; Thermotogati; Deinococcota; Deinococci; Deinococcales; Deinococcaceae. The record is from Rfam by way of RNAcentral.